AUCUGAUAAUGUAAGGAUUGAGACGACAGACAGUUGUGAGAUUUUCUCAGAAAAAAGAAUAAGAAAGGGCUUUGAAAAGCGUCUUUUUCUUGGCUUUCAGGAUGACAUGGAGGGUGUAGUGAGAAAGAGGAAACUGAAGUUAGUUUGUCUUCAAGUUGAUGAGCUAUUGGUUUUUUCCUGAGUCGGAAAUUACUUCCAUGACCAGAAACCUUGCUGUACGAAAAAUAGAAGACCUUGUGAUAGUAUGACAAUAAAUAAACUGAGAUCUUACUUGAUAAUAUCGGAGGAUUUCUAAAAAUAAACACCAAAACCAUUGACGAAUUAAAGCAACAGAUCAUAAAUCCUUUCCACUGAAUUAGAGUUGAAAAUUGUGUAACAAAUGUCAGGCUCUCCGUCAUAGAUAUCAUGAUUGUUUGAAUGCUGGUGGAGCCCAGUUUGAGCAUCUCUUAUGAUGCAGCAGUGUAGAAGAUAUUUGUCAGAAAUUUCGUCAACUGCAGCCUACCACCAUCGUUUCGUCAACUGCAACCUACCACCACCGUUUCUGUGGUUCUUCCACUAGAACUUGUCAUCGAGCCGAUUUAUCAAGUCUCUGCUGACGUUUUACAAGAAGGGGAAAGACUUAAUUGAAGUCUUUGAAUAACAGAAAUUGCUGUUAACACAGUGAUAUGUGCCGAGGAGAAUUUGUUUCCUAAUGUCGUAGCUUCAUUUGAUGACUAUUGAUACUAAGGCAGAACAGCUUUCUAUUUUUUUUAUCUCAAUUUGUCGAGAUAUUAACGGGGACACCUAUAUUGUCAGCGACUAAAGGCGGGAUUUUAUAGAAGAAAAUUCAAUCUGUCUAAA
Molecule: long non-coding RNA, 840 nt
Organism: Limulus polyphemus (Atlantic horseshoe crab)
Lineage: Eukaryota; Metazoa; Arthropoda; Merostomata; Xiphosura; Limulidae
Exons: 3
Source: RefSeq, a predicted model, not a curated record